RNAcentral lists this ribosomal RNA (1243 nucleotides) under human gut metagenome. Its description in RNAcentral is "bacterial LSU rRNA". It matches the Rfam family "Bacterial large subunit ribosomal RNA", at positions 1220 to 2447 of the family's 2925-position model. The record is from RNAcentral.
ACUGCUGGGUAGGGGAGCGUUCUGUAAGCGGAUGAAGGUUAAUCGAGAGGUUAGCUGGACGUAUCAGAAGUGCGAAUGCUGACAUAAGUAACGAUAAAACGGGUGAAAAACCCGUUCGCCGGAAGACCAAGGGUUCCUGUCCAACGUUAAUCGGGGCAGGGUGAGUCGGCCCCUAAGGCGAGGCUGAAAAGCGUAGUCGAUGGGAAACGGGUUAAUAUUCCCGUACUUGGAUAAACUGCGAUGUGGGGACGGAGCAGGUUAGGUUAUCGCACUGUUGGAUAUGUGCGUUUAAGUUGGUAGGUGAGAAGUUUAGGCAAAUCCGGACUUCUUUAACACCGAGAGAUGAUGACGAGGCUCUACGGAGCUGAAGUAACCGAUACCACACUUCCAGGAAAAGCCACUAAGCUUCAGGUUUAUCUAAACCGUACUGAAAACCGACACAGGUGGUCAGGUAGAGAAUACUCAGGCGCUUGAGAGAAUCGGGUGAAGGAACUAGGCAAAAUAGCACCGUAACUUCGGGAGAAGGUGCGCCGGCGUAGAUUGUAGUCCCUAGCGGGCGAAGGUUGAACCGGUCGAAGAUACCAGCUGGCUGCAACUGUUUAUUAAAAACACAGCACUCUGCAAACACGAAAGUGGACGUAUAGGGUGUGAUGCCUGCCCGGUGCUGGAAGGUUAAUUGAUGGUGUAAUCGAAAGAGAAGCUCCUGAUCGAAGCCCCAGUAAACGGCGGCCGUAACUAUAACGGUCCUAAGGUAGCGAAAUUCCUUGUCGGGUAAGUUCCGACCUGCACGAAUGGCAUAAUGAUGGCCAGGCUGUCUCCACCCGAGACUCAGUGAAAUUGAAAUCGCCGUGAAGAUGCGGUGUACCCGCGGCUAGACGGAAAGACCCCGUGAACCUUUACUAUAGCUUGACACUGAACAUUGAAUUUUGAUGUGUAGGAUAGGUGGGAGACUUAGAAGUAGUCACGCCAGUGAUUAUGGAGUCGUCCUUGAAAUACCACCCUUUAACGUUUGAUGUUCUAACGAAGAUUACGAAACGUGGUCUCGGACAGUGUCUGGUGGGUAGUUUGACUGGGGCGGUCUCCUCCCAAAGAGUAACGGAGGAGCACGAAGGUUUGCUAAUGACGGUCGGACAUCGUCAGGUUAGUGCAAUGGUAUAAGCAAGCUUAACUGCGAGACAGACAAGUCGAGCAGGUACGAAAGUAGGUCAUAGUGAUCCGGUGGUUCUGAAUGGAAGGGCCAUCG